RNAcentral lists this unclassified non-coding RNA (933 nucleotides) under Portunus trituberculatus (swimming crab). RNAcentral describes it as "n-acetyltransferase 9-like, transcript variant X2". The record is from RNAcentral. Lineage: Eukaryota; Metazoa; Arthropoda; Malacostraca; Decapoda; Portunidae.
CUCCCCCGCCUGGCCACGGCUGAAUCUGUCCUCCUGGGGGUGACACAUAGCACUGUUUAACCCCAAUAUACGUGCCUUCUGUGUCUUCUGGUGACCUGUGAAUCUCCCACAAGUCCCACGCAGACCGGUAUAUACCAGGUUACUCGAGUUAGCCAAUCAGGAGGCGACAAUCCCAUAACAAAGCCAGCAAGAUCUCCCAUUGGUCGCCGCCAGCCGUGCCCUGCUGGGAUUGGCUGCCAGAGGGUAUAUAAAGGGGGGAGCCCAGGCGGGAGGUCCUCAGUGCCACGGGAGGUCUUGAAGAGGAAGGAGUGUCAGUCAUCAGCAGCUCCAGGGAACUUCAGGUGACAGCGGCGCCAUGACAGACAGCCGGGCGUGGGCGUGGGUCGUGGGCUUGGUGGUGGUGGUGGUAGCGGCGGGGGCGGCCUUUCCCCCCGGCCCCCUGGACCAGGUGGGGACGCUGGGGGAGGGGAGAACCGCCCCCCUCCUCUUUCCCUAUCCCCAGUUCCCCCUCCCUAGGAAAAGAUAUUUGGGCAUCGAGCUUCCGGACUUCAUAGCGGCGGGAAAGGGCUUGGGAGACCUGAAGGAACGCAUGAUGACGUCAGGCAAGUAGCGAAAGAGACGUCACGCACCGCCAGCCUGUGAUGUCACUCCCACCAGCCUGCACCAGUGACGUCACAUCCUCAGCUGACGUCACUGCCUUCCAUAGCGUCCUUUUCAGAUUGGUUUUUACGGAUUUUGUGUUUAUUUGUAUGUGUUGUGGUUUAUGAGGGUUUUUUUUCUAUUUUUUCGUGUGUUUUUUAGUAUUCGUUGUGUUUCUCUGUAUUCGUUCAGUCGUGUUAUAAUGUACUGUAGUGUAUUUUGAUCCUUAUUGCUACUAUUUAUUUUUCGAGUUAAUUUUAUACCAUAUGGCCAAAAUACAAACUAUUCAGUACA